GGGGGUGAAAGGCUUCGACCCAGGUAAGCAAGGUAAAAGAUGCAUGUAGAGGAUGCUUGGAGGCCUCUCUAAAAACCAGGCAAACAUCAAAUGCUGACAAAUACAACGUGCCAGCGACGGUAAAUGAGUUACUCAACACCAUGCAAGUGGUGCCGAGUGCUUAUGUACCGGCAGCGUUAGCUAUAUAAGCUAACCCGCCAGCCGGUUUGAGCCUGCGCAACCGGACCUGACGACGAUAGCGGGCUGGUCCCGUCCUCACCUCCUUUUGAGAACGGGAUGAGAGCACAAUAGGAUACCUUCGCAGGAUUUCGCCUGUUAAAGCCUGCGCGGGGAAACCAAAGAUCAGGAUAAACAUGUAGUGUCUUCUACUCUGAUGUCUGGGGACGGCGGUUCGAAUCCGCCCACCUCCACCA
RNAcentral lists this transfer-messenger RNA (413 nucleotides) under Candidatus Omnitrophota bacterium. It matches the Rfam family "transfer-messenger RNA". Rfam says of the family: Bacterial tmRNA, also known as 10Sa RNA or SsrA, is named for its dual tRNA and mRNA-like properties. Lineage: Bacteria; Pseudomonadati; Candidatus Omnitrophota. The record is from RNAcentral.